Molecule: ribosomal RNA, 254 nt
Filed under: uncultured bacterium
Lineage: Bacteria
Description: partial 16S ribosomal RNA
Rfam family: Bacterial small subunit ribosomal RNA
Source: RNAcentral
UACGUAGGUGGCAAGCGUUGUCCGGAUUUACUGGGCGUAAAGAGCGCGCAGGCGGUCGUUCAAGUCGCGUGUGAAAGCCCCCGGCUCAACUGGGGAGGGUCACGCGAUACUGAUCGACUGGAAGGCAGGAGAGGGUAGUGGAAUUCCCGGUGUAGUGGUGAAAUGCGUAGAUAUCGGGAGGAACACCAGUGGCGAAGGCGGUUCUCUGGGCAUGACCUGACGCUGAGGAGCGAAAGUGUGGGGAGCGAACAGGA